AUUGAACGCUGGCGGCAGGCCUAACACAUGCAAGUCGAGCGGAUGAAGGGAGCUUGCUCCUGGAUUCAGCGGCGGACGGGUGAGUAAUGCCUAGGAAUCUGCCUGGUAGUGGGGGAUAACGUCCGGAAACGGGCGCUAAUACCGCAUACGUCCUGAGGGAGAAAGUGGGGGAUCUUCGGACCUCACGCUAUCAGAUGAGCCUAGGUCGGAUUAGCUAGUUGGUGGGGUAAAGGCCUACCAAGGCGACGAUCCGUAACUGGUCUGAGAGGAUGAUCAGUCACACUGGAACUGAGACACGGUCCAGACUCCUACGGGAGGCAGCAGUGGGGAAUAUUGGACAAUGGGCGAAAGCCUGAUCCAGCCAUGCCGCGUGUGUGAAGAAGGUCUUCGGAUUGUAAAGCACUUUAAGUUGGGAGGAAGGGCAGUAAGUUAAUACCUUGCUGUUCUGACGUUACCAACAGAAUAAGCACCGGCUAACCUCGUG
RNAcentral lists this ribosomal RNA (484 nucleotides) under uncultured bacterium. Its description in RNAcentral is "partial 16S ribosomal RNA". It matches the Rfam family "Bacterial small subunit ribosomal RNA", at positions 30 to 507 of the family's 1533-position model. The record is from RNAcentral.